This 61-nucleotide microRNA precursor is filed under the name Strongyloides ratti. RNAcentral's name for it is "microRNA str-mir-236 precursor". Its record names the gene str-mir-236. The record is from miRBase by way of RNAcentral. Lineage: Eukaryota; Metazoa; Nematoda; Chromadorea; Rhabditida; Strongyloididae.
CGUCAUUAUCGCAGCUAUUAGAGACAUUUUGAUUGCUUUAAUACUGUCAGGUAAUGACGCU